Molecule: long non-coding RNA, 2212 nt
Filed under: Coffea arabica (coffee)
Lineage: Eukaryota; Viridiplantae; Streptophyta; Magnoliopsida; Gentianales; Rubiaceae
Description: long non-coding RNA (CARA_LNC000858)
Source: RNAcentral
AAGAAAAUUGUCUUUAAAAAGCGACGAAAUAUUUUUUUUUAAAAAAGAAAGCACGGUAGUCUUUAAAAAGAAAUUAAAUGCAUAGAAGUAAAUUGUCAAACGGCGUCAAAGUGCGGUUUGUCGGGACGUGUAUGCUCCGAGCCAUUGGUUUACGCAGGGUAGUAUCCAUCCAACCGUGUCAGAAUUUUGCGAGGCCCAAAUCAAACUUGCAGUUCUGCGGAAGCAGGACAAUGAGGAGGGGUGGACCGAUUUGCAAAGCAUUUGGGCCUCAAGAUUGGGAUUAACAGUGGAAAACCCAAAAAAAAAUAUGGACAUCAUUCGUCUGAAGUUUUUUUUUUUGGGAAGGAUCAUUCAUCUAAAGUUCAAUUCCAUUUUCCGUCUGUCUGAAAAUUACAAGUAAUUAUCUUGAUGAAUAAGAAGUUGAAACUAUUAAACUAUAAUGAGGAAAAAAAAACAUAAAAUUACUAUUUGAUACUGGAAUUUUUAUCGCUACAUUUUUACUACUAAUAAAACUAACACACGGAUGUCUUCACUAGGGCUGCAAACGAGCCGAGUCGAGUCGAGUUUUGAGCUAAUCGAGCCGAGCCUCGAUUAAAUUUUACCAAGCUCGAGCUCGAGCUCGAGCUGGACGAGCUGGCAAUUUUCGAGCUCGAGCUCGAAAAAAAUAAAAAAAAAAAUUAUUUUAUUUUUAAAAAAAUAAAAAAAUAAUAUUUUUUUCUGAAUAAAUAAUAAAAUAUUAAGGAUAUAUAGGUAAUUUCACUAUGAAAAUAAAAAAUUAAAAUAUAUUUAUAUACAAUAUACGUAAUUUUAUUAUUAAAUAAAAAUAAAAUAUAUAUAUAAAUAUAUAUACUCAAGCUCGCGAGCUAACGAGCUUAAUAUUCUGAGCUCGAGUUCGAGCUCGAGUUUGACUCGAGCUGGCUCGAGCUCGACUCGAGCUGGCUCGAGCUCGACUCGAGCUUGACUUGAGCCGCUCGCGAGCGGCUCGAUUCGUUUGCAGCCCUAGUCUUCACCAUCUUCCAAUUGUUCUGCACAUAUAUUUUCUUAAUAUUUUCCUUAACCACUUUAUGUAACUAAAUUGAAUUAAAUCAUUCUUAAAGUGUUGAGAUUUAUAAAAUAUGAAGUGUAGAUUACGUAUAAUUUGUUCUACAACCAACAAUUCCUUUUUGGGGUUUCCACUAUUAAUUUUGGGGUCAUCCAAAGUUAGAAAAAAAAAAAAAAAAAAAAAAAAAAGAGUUUUCAUGGUAUCAAGAAUGAAGAUGAUUUUCAACCCUUGGUCUUCCAAUUGAGUGUUGAAAGAGAAAGUUGUAAUCUUUAAAUUUUAGAAAUUAGAUAGUAAUGUUAAAUAUGAAACCCGGCCCAUAUCAGCUGUUUUACUGGGAGCAACCUUCAUCCCAAGGAUGCUUAUAUGGUGCAACCAGUUAGGCACAAAGUAGAACAGCUGCGGUUUAGGAAAUAUAAGAGGAAAAAAAUCCUGAAUUUUCCUCGUUUAGGAGUUUUAAUUGGAAAGAAAAGAAAAGAGAGAUGAAUUGGGCUCCAAAUUUGGAAUGGAAAGGAAAGGAAUAAAAGUUUGGCUUAUACCUUGUAAACUUUAUCAAUAUGCUAAUUUCAUCCAUAACAUGGUAAAGAGCAAAAUAAUAGUACCCAAUGAAUCCAAAAUUAAUCAUUUUUUCCAUCUAAACUCCCAUUCAACAUGGAAUAAAGAACUCAUAUCUUUUCUUUUAUGCUCCUCAGAUAUUAUAUUCUACGGGAAAUACAACCGACAAUUAAUUCAAGCAUUUGCUAUCUUUAAAAGAAGGGGGUAAAAAAAAAAAAAAAAAACCAAACAUUUGUUAUCUGCAAAGCGUGGUAUCUGAUCAUCCUUUAGCAGGCAGAGUAACCUAAAGCAUUCUCAAUAGUUACUAAUUCAAUUUACCCACAGUACAGGCCAAUUAUAAUCAAUUUACUAUACACACGUGCCUCUAUUUGUCCCAUCCCCCCCCCCCCCCCCAAACAAAAACAAAAAAAAAAAAAAAAAAAGAUUGUGCCUCUGUACAUGUAAAUUUCAUUCCUGAAAAGAAGAUCAAGAAAAGUAAGAGUAUAGAAAUUACCGCAGAAAACCGGAUGCUAACUAUUGCUGGAGCCAUUGCCAAGACAGUUUCUUUACCCAGAAGCACGAAGAACUUCCGAAUGGAAUACUCAGUGGCUUGGAAAACAAAAAGAAGGCAUAUCCCAC